AGCAGGUUGGUGGUUCUCCCCGAGACUUCACUGUGUACCUGAAGAUACAACCAAGUUGUCAGUCCUUGUCAAAGACUGUCACUUUGCCAAAGUGCCCUGCCCUGAGAAAGAAUACACCAGGUAACUGGAGGAUCUGGAGGAGAGCCAUUCCCGCUGACUAACUGGUCAUUCUGGGCAGGUAGAGUGGAGGACAUCUUUGAAGCAAUCAGAAGAUGUGACAACUGCUGCUGGGAGCUCAUAGCUGAGAGGAAAGCAGGAGAGGAUGGAUGUGGACACAACAUAUAGCCACAAUACGACCAUAUCACAACAUAACCUUUCUGCCACAGGAUAACUGGCUUCAAGAUGUGGUAUAAACAUUGUGGAACUCAUUUUAUGAGACUCAGUGACAAUACAUGUAGGGUAAAUUAAAUUUCAGCAAUGCACCAGUGGAUGGUGGUCUCUACUCAUACAGAACAGAAAGACUAUGUGCCCCAGGAUAAUCGCCUUUUUCUCCCUGCUGUGCUCGGAAGGAAGGUCUCGGAGAUACCAGACAAGCACUGAGAGGCUCAGCAAGAGCGACUACCCUCAGGCCACUAGGAUCCUGAAAGAGGUCACUGCCACAUGUUCAGUGUGAAAUAAUCAAAAUAAAAACAUCUCACUCAA
Micropterus salmoides (largemouth bass) is the source of this 642-nucleotide long non-coding RNA. RefSeq lists it as uncharacterized. The record is from RefSeq and is a predicted model, not a curated record. The transcript is spliced from 2 exons. NCBI's taxonomy places the organism in Eukaryota, Metazoa, Chordata, Actinopteri, Centrarchiformes, Centrarchidae.